This 301-nucleotide ribosomal RNA is filed under the name uncultured bacterium. Its description in RNAcentral is "partial 16S ribosomal RNA". It matches the Rfam family "Bacterial small subunit ribosomal RNA", at positions 509 to 807 of the family's 1533-position model. The record is from RNAcentral.
CAGUCGCCGCGGUAAUACGAAGGGGGCGAGCGUUGUUCGGAUUUACUGGGCGUAAAGGGCGCGCAGGCGGCUCUAUUUGUCAGGCGUGAAAGCCCCGGGCUUAACCUGGGAACUGCGUUUGGGACGGUAGGGCUAGAGAUCGGGAGAGGAGAGUGGAAUUCCCUGUGUAGAGGUGAAAUUCGUAGGUAUUGGGAAGAACACCGGUGGCGAAGGCGGCUCUCUGGACCGAUACUGACGCUGAGGCGCGAAAGCGUGGGGAGCAAACAGGAUUAGAUACCCCGGUAGUCCCUGUCUCUUAUAC